AGCCUGUGGCAGGUCCUCCUCUCCCCGCAGCACUUUCUCCCAUGACUCCAUCAGACCGGAAUGGAAACCACAGGCUCGCUCCCCGGCGCUCCUGGGCUUCCAGCUAUGAGCUCAGGUAGCGAGGCUUAAAGAAGACUUAUAGAACAUGAAAAUAUCUGCCAAAACUAAAAUUAUGCCUUUAAGAACAAUAUAGCUUCUGCCCAAAAAUGAAUUCAUAGGAGGUGAAUGGUAUUAUCUCAUGCUCAAUUCUCUCCCAUCGACCACCUAAGGAGAACAUACCAGUGGCAAUAUAAUCACAUGACUCAUGAUGGACCUGGUCCCACAUUAUAUGUCUUACAAAAUGUAUGCUCGGACUAAGCAUAGCCUUGUAUGUACAGACUGCUCUGUGAGACCAGUUUCACCUCCACCAGGUGUCAGCCGUCGUCCAAUGAACUGUGAAGACGGAACAUCACAGGGCAGAGCGUUAAUGCACACGUUCUUCAAUGUUUCAAGAAAGAAAUAAAGCACUUGUGAUGACCUAUGAAGGACCCAUGAGCAAAUGUCCUACACUACACAAAUGAAAUUCUUGACAGCUUUGAAAGUAAAUCAAUUUCAUUCACUUAAUAAUUUUCAAAUGUCAAUUCUUGUGUUAAUAUUUAAAUCUUAAUGUGAACUUUAUUUUCAAAAUUUACUUAUUUACAAAUUGUAUUUCUGUAUAAUAAUUCAAAUACACAUGUAGAUGGAUUCACUGUUGCAAUGCAAAUAUGAUUGAUAAACAUGAAAACAAUUUAAUUUGCGGAGAGAAUGUAUUGUCAUAUAUCAGCCAAAGAUACAAAUAAAGGAAAUGGAAAAAUUA
This is a long non-coding RNA of Echinops telfairi (small Madagascar hedgehog), 835 nucleotides long. RefSeq lists it as uncharacterized. Lineage: Eukaryota; Metazoa; Chordata; Mammalia; Afrosoricida; Tenrecidae. The transcript is spliced from 3 exons. The record is from RefSeq and is a predicted model, not a curated record.